CACCUGGGGAUUUUGUUAAAAUGCAGAUUCUGAUUUAGUAGGGAUGCAAGAGCCUGCAUUUCUAACAAGCUCUGGAAGUUGCUG
RNAcentral lists this microRNA precursor (84 nucleotides) under Mustela putorius furo (domestic ferret). RNAcentral describes it as "miRNA (ENSMPUG00000021654.1)". The record is from RNAcentral. Lineage: Eukaryota; Metazoa; Chordata; Mammalia; Carnivora; Mustelidae.